ACCUAUGGCCAUGCUACCCUGAACAAGCCCGAUCCUGUCUGAUCUCAGAAGCUAAGCAGGGUCUGGCCUGGUUAGUACUUGGAUGGGAGACCACCUAGGAAGACCAGGUGCUAUAGGCA
This 119-nucleotide ribosomal RNA is filed under the name Pteropus alecto (black flying fox). Lineage: Eukaryota; Metazoa; Chordata; Mammalia; Chiroptera; Pteropodidae. The record is from RNAcentral.